RNAcentral lists this long non-coding RNA (1404 nucleotides) under Phoenix dactylifera (date palm). RNAcentral's name for it is "long non-coding RNA (PDAC_LNC014690)". The record is from RNAcentral. Lineage: Eukaryota; Viridiplantae; Streptophyta; Magnoliopsida; Arecales; Arecaceae.
AUCCACAUCUCAGGUUUGUUCUCUGACCUUUGAUCUCUAAGCAUCAUUACAAGAAAAACAGCUACAACUUGUCCAACAAAAGCACUAUGACUAAGGAGAGGACUCACUAAAAUGAACUAGAAGCUAGUUUUGUGAACUAGGUAGAGACUUCCAUCUGCUACACCUCUACCUAGCCACUCUAAAGGGUACUAAUAUAUGGGUAAGGUUCUACAUUUUAAAUGUCAUGUGUCUAUGAAUUUGAAAUGGGCUGCACUCCACUUACCAAGUGCAUCAUUCGACGGCAACCAUGUUUUGGAUGUAGUUUAAUAAUGAGACACAUGUUCUGCUUGAAGCACUAAUUUAUCCCUUUAUUAGUAUUAUGAAGGGCCUAUUUGGAUGUCAGACACUGCACUCUUCAAAUAUCACCCACAUGGAUGGGAGUUGAUGAAUGGGGAAAGGGAAAGAAGAGAAAAUGUGAGGAAUCUAGAGAGAAAGGCCAUUGAACUCAGUUUCAAGUUCUUUAGGACACCAAAAUCCAUCCAAGAAGAUGAUUUUUCACUAUCCUAAAUAAUUUCAGAUAUUAAAAUCUACAGAUUCCCCCAAUCCUCAGAUUUCAUUGUCCUUCCACCUUUUCUUUUUUUUUAAAACAAAAACUUCCCUCUUGCAGGAAAUAUAUUGCAGGAAUAUGCUGGUUGGAUGUCCAGAUUUGCCCUAAAAUAGUAACAACAUCAGUUAGGAUCUAAUCCAUGAUUGAAAUGUUUAUACAACUGAAUUGCAGCUUGCAUCAAGCAUUAAACUAUGAAGGAAUGUUAGCUUGGGGAGGGGUGUGCUGGGGAGAAGGACUUCUCUCGACGUACCUUAAUAUAUAGUACUUCAUUAAAAAUAAUGAAUGUCACUCUGGAAAAUUUAUGGAAAAAGAAUAUUUGACAUAGGGACGGCAUUUGAAAGGUAGAUUGGAGGUAUUGAUAAAAUUAGUAUCCUUUAGUAUACCAGUCACCAGAAUUACAGUAUGUGUAGAAAUGGUUUUCAUUACUCAAUGUUAUUACUAUUCAUGAUAAAAGACCUCAGAAUUAGCACUUGUAUUUUCAUUUCCGAUAAGGAAAAUAGGAUAUGGAAUUUCAUAGUCCUAAAGUUCUAAAAGAAGUGUUCUGGAUUUAUUGGCUAUGAAAGAAAGAAUUAAUGUGAUAGUUGCAUGUGAAAGAUAUAAUCUAGAUGACAUGCUAAUGUGAGUCUUAAUUAAGCAACGAUGUUAUAUUCCCUACCUAUUCAACUACUUUAAUCCCUCAAACUUCACAGGUAUAUAUCAAAAUGAUCCAAAGAAGGCAGAGUCAAAAGGAAAUAUAGUAAGUAAAGAAGCCACAGAAUGUACCUUACUUAUCUGAGCUAUGCACUAGGGCUGUCUUAAUACAAGCAUUUGAUGUACUU